AUACGGAGGGGACAAGCGUUAUUCGGAAUCACUGGGCGUAAAGGACGCGUAGGCGGGUUAUUAAGUCGGGUGUGAAAUCCAAUGGCUCAACCAUUGAACUGCAUUCGAAACUGAUAACCUAGAGUAUGGAAGGGGCAGGUGGAAUUAGUGGUGUAGGGGUAAAAUCCGUAGAUAUCACUAGGAAUACCGAAAGCGAAGGCGAUCUGCUGGGACAUUACUGACGCUGAGGCGUGAAAGCGUGGGGAGCAAACAGGAUUAGAAACCCGAGUAGUCC
RNAcentral lists this ribosomal RNA (274 nucleotides) under uncultured bacterium. RNAcentral describes it as "partial 16S ribosomal RNA". It matches the Rfam family "Bacterial small subunit ribosomal RNA", at positions 523 to 796 of the family's 1533-position model. The record is from RNAcentral.